RNAcentral lists this ribosomal RNA (1213 nucleotides) under Pediococcus acidilactici. RNAcentral's name for it is "bacterial SSU rRNA". It matches the Rfam family "Bacterial small subunit ribosomal RNA", at positions 41 to 1233 of the family's 1533-position model. Lineage: Bacteria; Bacillati; Bacillota; Bacilli; Lactobacillales; Lactobacillaceae. The record is from RNAcentral.
GGCGUGCCUAAUACAUGCAAGUCGAACGAACUUCCGUUAAUUGAUUUGCACUGAAUGAGAUUUUAACACGAAGUGAGUGGCGGACGGGUGAGUAACACGUGGGUAACCUGCCCAGAAGCAGGGGAUAACACCUGGAAACAGAUGCUAAUACCGUAUAACAGAGAAAACCGCCUGGUUUUCUUUUAAAAGAUGGCUCUGCUAUCACUUCUGGAUGGAAUUAGCUAGUUGGUGAGGUAACGGCUCACCAAGGCGAUGAUGCGUAGCCGACCUGAGAGGUAAUCGGCCACAUUGGGACUGAGACACGGCCCAGACUCCUACGGGAGGCAGCAGUAGGGAAUCUUCCACAAUGGACGCAAGUCUGAUGGAGCAACGCCGCGUGAGUGAAGAAGGGUUUCGGCUCGUAAAGCUCUGUUGUUAAAGAAGAACGUGGGUGAGAGUAACUGUUCACCCAGUGACGGUAUUUAACCAGAAAGCCACGGCUAACUACGUGCCAGCAGCCGCGGUAAUACGUAGGUGGCAAGCGUUAUCCGGAUUUAUUGGGCGUAAAGCGAGCGCAGGCGGUCUUUUAAGUCUAAUGUGAAAGCCUUCGGCUCAACCGAAGAAGUGCAUUGGAAACUGGGAGACUUGAGUGCAGAAGAGGACAGUGGAACUCCAUGUGUAGCGGUGAAAUGCGUAGAUAUAUGGAAGAACACCAGUGGCGAAGGCGGCUGUCUGGUCUGUAACUGACGCUGAGGCUCGAAAGCAUGGGUAGCGAACAGGAUUAGAUACCCUGGUAGUCCAUGCCGUAAACGAUGAUUACUAAGUGUUGGAGGGUUUCCGCCCUUCAGUGCUGCAGCUAACGCAUUAAGUAAUCCGCCUGGGGAGUACGACCGCAAGGUUGAAACUCAAAAGAAUUGACGGGGGCCCGCACAAGGUGGAGCAUGUGGUUUAAUUCGAAGCUACGCGAAGAACCUUACCAGGUCUUGACAUCUUCUGCCAACCUAAGAGAUUAGGCGUUCCCUUCGGGGACAGAAUGACAGGUGGUGCAUGGUUGUCGUCAGCUCGUGUCGUGAGAUGUUGGGUUAAGUCCCGCAACGAGCGCAACCCUUAUUACUAGUUGCCAGCAUUCAGUUGGGCACUCUAGUGAGACUGCCGGUGACAAACCGGAGGAAGGUGGGGACGACGUCAAAUCAUCAUGCCCCUUAUGACCUGGGCUACACACGUGCUACAAUGG